Pantherophis guttatus is the source of this 2672-nucleotide long non-coding RNA. RefSeq lists it as uncharacterized. The record is from RefSeq and is a predicted model, not a curated record. Lineage: Eukaryota; Metazoa; Chordata; Lepidosauria; Squamata; Colubridae.
GCAGAGAACUACAGUAAUAAUUCUCUCUUACUUUCUUUUCUUCCUCACCCUUGCUAUCUUCUUUUUUUUUUCUGUGUCUCCUUUCCAUUCUUCCUGUUGUUAUUUUACUGGAUUUGCUGAGGAAAUUGGGCGAUAAACUGGGGUGGGGACAGACAGUAAGGAGAAAAAGUAGGAGAAGCUAGAAGAAGAGGGAAAGAAAAGCAUAUUUCCUUUAUGCUACAGAAGCCAUCACAGAAACUGGGGAGAAAAGAAGGAAAGGAAAAUAUGUGGCCAUUCAAGAAUCAAAGAUUUGGUAGGAUCACAGCAGAGGUUUCCAAAUUUGAGAACUUUGAGACUUGUGGACUUCAACUCCCUGAAUUCUUCAGCCAGCAAACAACAACAUACAUUUUGCUGAAAGUUGUAAAUAUAGACUGAACCUGGAAUCUACAUACAGCCAAAGUACACAGCAAGAAGUAACAAUCUCCUGUGCAACAGUAUGAACAGGAAAAAUAGCGCUCAGCAGCAGUUAAUCAAUAAGGUAGUACAAUAUACAUAAACAAGGUUACAAAAUACCACUGUUAAAAGCUCGUGCAAAGAGGGUGGAUUCAUGAGGUGCCAAACUUAUAUUAAGAGUAGUGAUAUCAGAACAAGUAGCUCUCCAAUACCAGAAUUAAAGGCCAUCUCAGAAAAAAAAGAGCCAUAAAGUGGGCCUCUAAGAGAGAGUCGGCAGAUUCAGUGAAAAUAAAAGACCCUGAUGAAACAGUGAUCACAUCCUUUGGAAUUGCUCAAUGAUUAUGGGACUAUAUUUUUUAACUUCUUUAGACUAUUGUUGUCUAGAAUCAGUUCCUCAUGAUUCCUGACAGCUCCACAAGAAAUAAUAAAACAAAAAGCAAAAUAACAAUAACAAUAACAAUAAUAAUAAUUCCUCAACAUCAGAAAAACGAGCUAGAUCAGUUGACCACCUGAUUAGUGGGUGCAGCAAAAUUUCACAAACUAACUACCUACAACCAUGACCGCAUUGCUAAGAUCAUUCACUGGAAAUUGUGCCAGAAGUUUGGAUUUGAGUACAGCAAAAACCACUGGGAACAUCAGGUUGAGAAAGUUUUAGAGAAUGAGAAACUCAAGAUCUUGUAGGACUUCAGGAUUCAGACUGACAGGCACUUGGUCCACAACACACCUGACAUAACAAUAGUUGAAAAGAAAAAAGUAUGGUUCGUUGACAUUGCAAUACCUGGUGGUGCACGGAUUGAAGAUAAGCAGCAAGAAAAAAUCACAAAGUACCGGGACUUUCAAAUUGAAGUUGAGCGACUGUGGAAAAAGAAAUCGUGUGUUGUCCCGAUUGUAAUUGGAGCCCUUGGAGCAAUACCCAAAGGGCUACCCCACUAUUUAGAAAUUCAAAAUUUACCGGACUUGAACAUUUUGACUCUACAAAAAACCACCUUAUUCGGAACAGCUUACAUCCUCCGACGAUACCUUAACAGUUCCUAGGUCCUUGGUUAGGACUCGAGCUGCUGAGCUAUUAACCAGCCUCAAAGGCUGUGAAUCUCACUAAAGAUUAACCAAUAAUAAUAAUUCCUCAACAUCAGAAAAAUGAGCUAGAUUGGAUCAAAAAAUUAUGAGCACCUUCUUUCAAACAAGAGACACAUCUGGCUUUUGAGCUAUAUUUUAUGAAGGCCAACAUCUGGAGGAGCACCCAUAACUUUAGGAGACCAAAUAUAACCUGUGGCCACAGACUGUGUCUCUUCACUCUUGUGGCAGUGUUUUCUUUUUUACUGAGGGCCAAUACAGUCAUUUUCAUAUCUUGAACUUUACAUAUUUAUUUUGCUAUCCUGUGAAUUUGCAACAUAUUUCAAAGUAUAUUUUGAGUUUUAUUCAUAGCUGAUCCUCUUAAAUAAAAAUGUAUCAUUCAAAAAGAUUUUAAAUAUAAGACUUUAUGUACAAGAGAUUUACUUGAUGAUCUAAAGCAGAACUGUCAAACUCCCAGCCUACGGGCUGGAUGCGUCAUGCACGGGCCACGCCCAUGCCCAGUUUAGCAAAGGGAGAAAAAGUCCUGAUAUAUCACAUGAUGCUGCUGCGUCGAUGUGAGUUUGACACCCCUGAUCUAAAGCAACAAGGAGGCAGUUGGCUGCUUACUGGUUUCUCUCUCUCUCUCAUUCUCUCUAAUAAAUUAUUACUAAAAGUUUCAUGAAAAAGUAUUGAACAUUUAAACCUCUGAGGAAAAAUUGGUGAACUGAAUAUGGCUCCAAUGAGAGCAAAUAUGAUGAUCACGGUGGAAUGAAGAGCCAACAAAUGAAUCAGCUGUUUGGAAUUCCUCUCAGAACAAGAAGAGGACUUUGGAUCCACAUGUCCUCCAAACAGUUGAUCCUUGUGAAGAAAUUAUAAGAUAGUAAUCUCUGAUGGGUUUAGAGCUCUGGGAAAUGAGGGAAUAGCCAUCUUGCUCAAGCUAUAUUUGGCACCUUUAAAAGGACACUGGGUUCACAUGCUACUUUUCUAAUCACUUUUGCAAAUAGCUUAUCAACUGCUUUAACUGUUAACUGUUUUAGAAACCUUUGGAUUAACAAAUUGUACAAGUUUCGAAUGUGAAUUUACUUCAAUCCUGUCAGAAUAUUCAUGAACUGGAAUAGGGCAUAGUAACAAGGUCAGCCAAUGAAUAGGCAUGGCAGCAGAUCAGCCAAUGAGGACUGUUUGGAAAC